Sceloporus undulatus (fence lizard) is the source of this 2679-nucleotide long non-coding RNA. RefSeq lists it as uncharacterized. The record is from RefSeq and is a predicted model, not a curated record. The transcript has 4 exons. NCBI's taxonomy places the organism in Eukaryota, Metazoa, Chordata, Lepidosauria, Squamata, Phrynosomatidae.
GAAGGAUAUGUCACAUAUUUCUGAAGGAAGGAUUGACAGCACGAGUCACUCAGGAGACAAAUGGUGGCUCUCUAAAUCUAAAUGUGUUGGAUGGCACACAAUUUUUCUUAAAAGAGUCUAAACAUAUUUUAAAGCAAUAGACAAGGUGAUGUGCUUGGUGAACAUGGAGCCUAAUCAAGAACAGAAGACUAAAUAUACUGAAAGUGGCCACUGAUGUGGCACGCAUGUAGAAGGGAAAAGGAGUCUGGAGUAAAUGCAUGAGGAGUGAACAAGAAAUGACUCACUGUCUGCACACAUGGGAUACAGGAGGCAGCACUUCUGGACAGAUGUAGCAUUGCCCACAAGUCAGAUGAUGGCCUGUCAUCAUUCUGGUUGCACGUUUUUUCUGCACCUGUUCCAGUGCUACAGCAUCCUUGAAUCUUUGAAGUCUUGAAUCUCCUAUGACUCAGGAACUUGGUGAAGAACAUAUUUGAAAAUGAAGACCGUUAUUUUGAAUAAACCAGGAUCUGUUGCUCGAUGAAGGCACAUCACACUGCCUCAUGGGAGGAGGGCUCGGUUCCACUUUCCUUUCAGAAGACUCUUACAGCACUUCUGCUCCCACCUUUUAGAUGAAGGCCAGAAAAACUGCAUGAAAGCAUCAGUCUUUAUUCAAGCUGUCUUCACCGUAGAAGUGACUACAUAUUGGGUCUGGUAACUGCAACUUUAAUAAGUACUUGUGAGUUGUGUGUAGGGUUGUGUGCCAAGUGCCUACAUAAUCCAAGAAGUAGUUUCAAUGAAACUUUAAACUUAAUGGGUAAUGCAGCCAUUAGGCAUGUAUAUAAUACAAACCAUUUGGGUGAGUUACAGCCUGUCACAGCAUUCAGUGAUGCUCCAGAUGUGACACAUUUUGUAAUCAAAUGAUAAAUCAGCAUAUUUCUCUUCACAGGUAGCAUAGCUUCCUUCACCCCCAGCCAGGAUAUAGAGUGCCUUAAGAAUGAUAGCAGAUAUGCCAUUAUUUGUUUGGGGAUUUUAAAAUUGUAAAUGCUUCAUCUGACUAGUUUCUAUGGGACUAGCACACAUGGUAAGGAAGCCAAUUAACGUUUAUAAAAUUUGGAUGGAAACGGAACAUAGGUUUUCUUUCCAAGAAAUCAAAUACUUCUGGGUAACUAAGUAUGUAGCAUAUUUUCUGUGGGGACAAACCAAGCAUUUUGCUGGAGCAAUAGAUACAACUUUUAAAACACAUUUUUGUUGUUAUUCCGUCUGCUUUUCAUUAUUAUUCUCUUUAAUUUUGCAAUAGGCAGAGAAACUGCCACCUAUAUCAGUCUCCUGUAGAUUGUUGAUCAGUGAGUGUUUCAAUGUUUGCUUUUGACUUUCUUUGCAAACUCGACGUAAUAUCAAAGCAGUUGUUUUCUCAUGAGUCAGCAUCCAAACUGUCUCUUGACAGUUUUGUUUACACAGUAUUGUAACUGCCUUUCCUAGUUAUGUCAUCCACAUUGAGAUCCACCAUCCACACUUUCCUCAGUCCUCAGGAUUUGGGAAAUUAAUUCUGCUACAAGUUCUGAUUUAUUUACCAUAAUACAAUAAGUGUGUGUGUGCGUGUUUAAAAAUCUAAUUUUAUAUCCCAGGUAUGACUUCAAAUAUAACCUUUUUAUGUGGAAAAGUAACUAUUUUGCUUAUAAUGUUGCUUACCACCUGGCUGUUACCUAAAGACUACAUCAAUGCUGGACAACCUCCACUGGUAGUGGUGGACUGUAUUGCUCCCAAACCCACCAGGGGCUGAACCCAAUCCUGCUAGCAUUGCACCCUGAAAUCUAGGGGGUACAGCUGCAGCAAUCUUAAUUCCCAUUGUACUGAAUAUUUAAAACAAGUCACAUGGGCAGCCUGCCUUGCAUUGUGCAUCCCCCAUGGUGUCCCAGGUGAUAUAUCAUACCGGAGAACUAUGGAAACAAAAUGGCAGCCACAAUAUAUGCAACGAUGGAAGAAAGUUCUGCAAACUGGUCAUUCCUUGGGGGAGAAAAGGUUGAGGGUGAAUCCACAAAUAUUUAUGAAAAAAUAUAUCUGCAGAAAAAUGCAACUCAGCAUUACCAUACCAUUUAUGAACAAUACCGUAUGUUUGUGUGUGAAAGAGAGAGAGAGGGAGAGAGAGAAAGAGAGAGAGACUGGUAGCAGCAGUUGUAACAGGAAUACCCCAUGAAGCAGGGAACAUCUGCACCCCAGAUCUCCACAUAAAACACACACUGCUGUUUUCAGGGAAACUCAGCCAGGAGCCAAGCAAUUAGACAUCAGCCUUAGUGAAAAAUCACAUCCACACAUAGACUGAGAAUAUCUGACUGUUAAACAUAAGUUUGGCAGCCUAUUUUGGCUAGUUCCCUGUAGCCACUGCUUUGGACUGAGGAAAGCAGCAUGGAAGAUGUUGCAUAUCAACACUCCCCCCCCCCCAGUGCAUCCAACAGCUGUUCCCGCAGAGAAAUUGAAGAGCUGAGUGCCACUGGUGCCAUCUGCUAAGAGCAACAACAGCAGACAUGUCAGCAGCAGGAACACCUGAUGAACUGGGGAGAAAGAUAAAAAUAAUAUGAUGGCUUUCACAUCAGUGUGGAGGUGAAUCUGUUCUGAAUUGUAAAGGAGCUAUCCAAAUGCUGAGCACACCUGCCUAUCUAUCUGUCUGUCUAUCCAUCCAUCCAUAUAUCUAAUCUAUCACUU